This 592-nucleotide ribosomal RNA is filed under the name Penicillium glabrum. Its description in RNAcentral is "LSU rRNA". It matches the Rfam family "Eukaryotic large subunit ribosomal RNA", at positions 88 to 695 of the family's 3401-position model. Lineage: Eukaryota; Fungi; Ascomycota; Eurotiomycetes; Eurotiales; Aspergillaceae. The record is from RNAcentral.
GGCGAGUGAAGCGGUAAGAGCUCAAAUUUGAAAGCUGGCUCCUUCGGGGUCCGCAUUGUAAUUUGCAGAGGAUGUUUCGGGAGCAGCCCCCAUCUAAGUGUCCUGGAACGGACCGUCAUAGAGGGUGAGAAUCCCGUAUGGGAUGGGGUGUCUGCGCCCAUGUGAAACUCCUUCGACGAGUCGAGUUGUUUGGGAAUGCAGCUCUAAAUGGGUGGUAAAUUUCAUCUAAAGCUAAAUAUUGGCCGGAGACCGAUAGCGCACAAGUAGAGUGAUCGAAAGAUGAAAAGCACUUUGAAAAGAGAGUUAAAAAGCACGUGAAAUUGUUGAAAGGGAAGCGCUUGCGAUCAGACUCGCCUUGGGGGUUCAGCCGGCAUUCGUGCCGGUGUACUUCCCCCAGGGCGGGCCAGCGUCGGUUUGGGUGGCCGGUCAAAGGCCCUUGGAAUGUAACGCCUCUCGGGGCGUCUUAUAGCCAAGGGUGCCAUGCGGCCUACCUGGACCGAGGAACGCGCUUCGGCUCGGACGCUGGCAUAAUGGUCGUAAGCGACCCGUCUUGAAACACGGACCAAGGAGUCUAACAUCUACGCGAGUGUUU